CCUACGGUGGGCUGCAGUGGGGAAUAUUGGACAAUGGGGGGAACCCUGAUCCAGCCAUGCCGCGUGUGUGAAGAAGGCCCUCGGGUUGUAAAGCACUUUCAGUGAGGAAGAACGCCUGGUGGUUAAUACCCAUCAGGAAAGACAUCACUCACAGAAGAAGCACCGGCUAACUCCGUGCCAGCAGCCGCGGUAAUACGGAGGGUGCGAGCGUUAAUCGGAAUUACUGGGCGUAAAGCGCGCGUAGGUGGCUUGAUAAGCCGGUUGUGAAAGCCCCGGGCUCAACCUGGGAACGGCAUCCGGAACUGUCCAGCUAGAGUGCAGGAGAGGAAGGUAGAAUUCCCGGUGUAGCGGUGAAAUGCGUAGAGAUCGGGAGGAAUACCAGUGGCGAAGGCGGCCUUCUGGACUGACACUGACACUGAGGUGCGAAAGCGUGGGUAGCAAACAGGAUUAGAUACCCUUGUAGUC
RNAcentral lists this ribosomal RNA (465 nucleotides) under Vreelandella stevensii. RNAcentral describes it as "partial 16S ribosomal RNA". It matches the Rfam family "Bacterial small subunit ribosomal RNA", at positions 338 to 795 of the family's 1533-position model. Lineage: Bacteria; Pseudomonadati; Pseudomonadota; Gammaproteobacteria; Oceanospirillales; Halomonadaceae. The record is from RNAcentral.